AGUAGCCGCUGCUGUUUGAGGUGGCUGCCGGGCUGCCGCCAAGCCGGUUCAGAGACCGCCGCUGUUUUGGUUCUGCCGUUCCUUCUUCGUUCGAGUGGUUGUGGUUGCUGAGAAAGCGGGUUGGAGCUGAGGUUUUGACUGCAGUCGAUUCGGGUCAAUACGAAAGGAGUCAGUUAGCGAGUUUGGGUUGUGAUUUCAACGUAUCGAGGUUAUUCCUUUUCAGGAUAUGGAAGACAAAGCUUCAAGAGAGUUAUGUUUAUUUUCUAUUUAUUCGGUCUUUUUGUAUCACCGUAGCUAUUAUUUUUUUUCACCUUUAUCUUUAUGAAGCUUGUAAGAGGGAUAGGAAAUUAUGAUAUGUAUAAUUGUAAACUAGUGUUAUGUAUAUGUAUAUAUAUAUCUUAAGGUUA
This is a non-coding RNA of Arachis ipaensis, 407 nucleotides long. Lineage: Eukaryota; Viridiplantae; Streptophyta; Magnoliopsida; Fabales; Fabaceae. The record is from RefSeq and is a predicted model, not a curated record.